GUGAGUCAUCGAAUCUUUGAACGCACCUUGCGCUCUAUGGUAUUCCGUAGAGCAUGCCUGUUUGAGUGCCGUGAAUUCUCCCAUCCCAAGCGGUUUUUAUCAAAGAAUUGCUAGGCGAAGGGGUUGAGAUGGGCGUUGUUAUAACUGCUUUUCUUCUCUAGAAAAGCUCGCCCGAAAAACAGCUAACGCCUCUGGGCCACUUUGCAUCCGCUUCUCUGAGGGGAGAAGCGGCCAAGCGCGCUCUGAUCAUCAGGCAUAGCAUGAUACGUCAUUUGCUAUGCUGUAGGAGAGCAUUUGGUU
This 300-nucleotide unclassified non-coding RNA is filed under the name uncultured Malassezia. RNAcentral's name for it is "sequence contains 5.8S rRNA gene, ITS2". The stretch from base 1 to 71 matches the Rfam family "5.8S ribosomal RNA", at positions 84 to 154 of the family's 154-position model. The record is from RNAcentral. Lineage: Eukaryota; Fungi; Basidiomycota; Malasseziomycetes; Malasseziales; Malasseziaceae.